RNAcentral lists this ribosomal RNA (494 nucleotides) under uncultured bacterium. RNAcentral's name for it is "bacterial SSU rRNA". It matches the Rfam family "Bacterial small subunit ribosomal RNA", at positions 17 to 507 of the family's 1533-position model. The record is from RNAcentral.
CCGUGGCUCAGUAUUAGACGCUGGCGGCAGGCCUAACACAUGCAAGUCGAGCGAGAAAGGUCUUCGGACUGAGUACAGCGGCGGACGGGUGAGUAAAGCGUAGGAAUCUACCUGGUAGUGGGGGAUAACUUGGGGAAACUCAAACUAAUACCGCAUACGCCCGUACGGGGGAAAGCGGGGGACCUUCGGGCCUCGCGCUAUCAGAUGAGCCUGCGUAGGAUUAGCUAGUUGGUGAGGUAAAGGCUCACCAAGGCGACGAUCCUUAGCUGGUCUGAGAGGAUGAUCAGCCACACUGGGACUGAGACACGGCCCAGACUCCUACGGGAGGCAGCAGUGGGGAAUAUUGCGCAAUGGGCGAAAGCCUGACGCAGCCAUGCCGCGUGUGUGAAGAAGGCCUUAGGGUUGUAAAGCACUUUCAAUUGGGAAGAAAAGUUGGUCGUUAAUAGCGGCCAGCCCUGACAUUACCUUUAGAAGAAGGACCGGCUAACUCCGUG